RNAcentral lists this long non-coding RNA (1328 nucleotides) under Helianthus annuus (common sunflower). RNAcentral's name for it is "hypothetical non coding rna". Lineage: Eukaryota; Viridiplantae; Streptophyta; Magnoliopsida; Asterales; Asteraceae. The record is from RNAcentral.
AAUUCCAAAACCAACACCGAACAAGAAAAGAAAAAACUUCUUCUUCAGAAGCCAACCCAACCCCACUUUCACACACAUACACUGAGAUCAAAGUUCUUCUUCACACGGCUUAAUCACACCCACUUCCCUGUGUUUUUUCUCAUACCCAUAUACUUACACACAUACUUAAUUUCACAAUCUAAUUCAUACACACCAAUUCCUCUCUUACAAUUCAAUCAGCGGAAUAAGGUAACAGAAGCGGCAAAUUAGGGUUUUUUCGAAUUCAACGGUUGAGGGUUGGAGUAACAACGCUAGAUAGCGAGGUUAUCUUACCAGCGUAUUUAUCAAAUACGCUGGGCAACUUGAACUCGCGUUCAAGAUUUGUUUGGCUAGGGUUUGACUGCUUUGUUUGGCCCGAGAAGCAGCAUAAUUACUUGCUGGAAGUUUAGAGUUUGUGCGGCUAGAGUUCAGCGGAUUUGUUGGGAUUUCUAGGGUUUGGUGCGGAUUUGUCGGAAACUGGUUUGGAGCGGCGGUGACUCACUGUUGUUUUGACCCGAUUGAAUGAAGAUCUGAGUUGAGGGGUUUGGUUGAUUGCGGCGGCUGGUUGCAACGAAGACGAAAAACUGAUUUGCCGAUUAUCAACGGGCUGCGGCAGUAUCACAACGGUAAGUAUCCCAGCUGAUGUUAUGAUGAGCAAACGGUUUCAAGAAUCAGAAACACUGCUCUGAUACCAUCUGGUAUAGGGAAUAAUCUUUGUAAUGGUUUGAAUUGUAUUGAAAUUGUAUCAAACAAGAAUUAGGGUUACAAAGAAGAGUGUUUAUAUAGAACACCAAGUUACACAUUUAGCCCCUACACUACGACAUGUCGUUUACUUUCCGACAUGAGCUUAAAUGAGCUAGAGAGAGAGUGUAGAGACAACGAGUUGACGGAAAGCUUUGUAUGUGUGUAAUCUGUACCGAAACUCUGUCGAAUCGAAUGCACAGAAUCGUUAAACGGUGAAUCUUUAUUGUGUAAAACAUUCUCUCGCUCGGUUUGUAUCAUAGCUUGGAUUCCGCACUCGCUACGGCAUCCCAAACAAGAAAUCACGUUCGUCCGUCGAUACGCAUCAGGACCGACAACUGGUUUAUUAGUUUUAAUGAAUCGUGUAGUGAGAGAUUGACACUAUUCGAUUUACUUAGUGUUAAUUUCGUAAAUGUUUUUUGACAACCGGGUGUAGGUUUUAGAUAUGCAAAUGUGUUCAAUUUCAUUUAUGAACCAGGCUAAAACCUUGAAAGUAUGUUUCUUAUUUUGCUAGUGUAUAAUUCGAGCAGUGUUCAUGUGAUUAGUCUUUGCAUUUAACUUCUACUUUU